ACCGGCGCACGGGUGAGUAACGCGUAUGCAACCUACCCUUUAUCGGGGGAUAGCCCGAAGAAAUUCGGAUUAAUACCCCAUAGAAUUCGAUAGAGACAUCUCUAAUGAAUUAAAACUCCGGUGAUAAAGGAUGGGCAUGCGUGACAUUAGUUAGUUGGUGAGGUAACGGCUCACCAAGACGGUGAUGUCUACGGGGUCUAAAAGGAUGGUCCCGCACACUGGUACUGAGACACGGACCAGACUCCUACGGGAGGCAGCAGUGAGGAAUAUUGGUCAAUGGGGGCAACCCUGAACCAGCCAUGCCGCGUGAAGGAUGAAGGCUCUAUGAGUUGUAAACUUCUUUUGUACGGGGAAGAAAACGCAUUACGUGUAAUGCACUGACUGUACCGUAUGAAUAAGCAUCGGCUAACUCCCGUGCCAGCAGCCGCGGGUAAUACGGAGGNAUGCAAGCCGNUAUCCNGAUUUAUUAGGUUUAAAGGGUGCGUACGCUGACCGAUAAGNCAGUGGUGAAAUGCCNCAGCUUAACUGCGGGAACUGCCAUUGAUACUGUUUGGUCUUGAAAUGUGGUUAGCAGGCCGAAAGCGUANUGUACCCSGGGAAAMURYUWAGAWWUUACCCWCGAACCCCCGAUUGSSNUAGGCCAGCUUGCCUAGCCAUGAUUGACGCUGAGGCACGAAAGCGUGGGGAUCGAACAGGAUUAGAUACCCUGGUAGUCCACGCCGUAAACGAUGAUUACUCGUUGCGCGCGAUAUACAGUGCGUGACUGAGCGAAAGCAUUAAGUAAUCCACCUGGGGAGUACGACGGCAACGCUGAAACUCAAAGGAAUUGACGGGGGCCCGCACAAGCGGUGGAGCAUGUGGUUCAAUUCGAUGCAACGCGAAGAACCUUACCUGGGUUUGAAGAGGGGCAGACAGAAGGUGAAAGCCUUUCUCUCCGCAAGGAGCUGUCACUUAGGUGCUGCAUGGCUGUCGUCAGCUCGUGUCGUGAGAUGUUGGGUUAAGUCCCGCAACGAGCGCAACCCUUGUCCUCAGUUACCAUCGUUAAGUCGGGGACUCUGAGGAGACCGCCGGUGACAAACCGGAGGAAGGUGGGGAUGACGUCAAGUCCUCAUGGCCUUUAUGUCCAGGGCUACACACGUGCUACAAUGGCCGGUACAAACCGUCGCGACCUCGCGAGGGGAUGCCAAUCGGAAAAAACCGGUCUCAGUUCGGAUUGCAGGCUGCAACUCGCCUGCAUGAAGCUGGAAUCGCUAGUAAUCGCGGAUCAGCAUGCCGCGGUGAAGUACGUUCCCGGGCCUUGUACACCACCGCCCGUCACAUCACGAAAGUCGGCUGUACCAGAA
RNAcentral lists this ribosomal RNA (1343 nucleotides) under uncultured Bacteroidota/Chlorobiota group bacterium. RNAcentral's name for it is "uncultured Bacteroidetes/Chlorobi group bacterium partial 16S ribosomal RNA". It matches the Rfam family "Bacterial small subunit ribosomal RNA", at positions 94 to 1425 of the family's 1533-position model. Lineage: Bacteria; Pseudomonadati. The record is from RNAcentral.